UCGGAUUGCAGGCUGCAACCCGCCUGUAUGAAGUUGGAAUCGCUAGUAAUCGCGGAUCAGCAUGCCGCGGUGAAUACGUUCCCGGGCCUUGUACACACCGCCCGUCACACCAUGAGAGUCGGGAACACCCGAAGUCCGUAGCCUAACCGCAAGGGGGCGCGGCCGAAGGUGGGUUCGAUAAUUGGGGUGAAGUCGUAACAAGGUAAC
Molecule: ribosomal RNA, 207 nt
Filed under: uncultured bacterium
Lineage: Bacteria
Description: partial 16S ribosomal RNA
Rfam family: Bacterial small subunit ribosomal RNA
Source: RNAcentral